This is a long non-coding RNA of Chinchilla lanigera (long-tailed chinchilla), 266 nucleotides long. RefSeq lists it as uncharacterized. The transcript is spliced from 2 exons. The record is from RefSeq and is a predicted model, not a curated record. Lineage: Eukaryota; Metazoa; Chordata; Mammalia; Rodentia; Chinchillidae.
UGGGGGAAAGCCAAGCAAGUCCUGGAAUUAUUAAAGGAGACCUCAGCCCCUGUGUGUACCAAGAAAGGACAUAGGCUGUGACCCAUACUGCAGACAAGCUCUUAUUUCAAAGCGUCUCCCUGAUGCCAGAAACACUGCCAGCCUCCCCAUUUUCUCAGGAUCCGGAAGUUACAGUGGGAAAGGCUGACGAAGCCGAGUGUGAAGGACAGAAUCCACAGGAAAUGCAGGUCUGCUUCCAAGCACAUAAACAAGGCAAGCCCUGCUCA